AUUGAACGCUGGCGGCAGGCUUAACACAUGCAAGUCGAGCGGGGGAAGGUAGCUUGCUACCGGACCUAGCGGCGGACGGGUGAGUAAUGCUUAGGAAUCUGCCUAUUAGUGGGGGACAACAUCUCGAAAGGGAUGCUAAUACCGCAUACGUCCUACGGGAGAAAGCAGGGGAUCUUCGGACCUUGCGCUAAUAGAUGAGCCUAGGUCGGAUUUGCUAGUUGGUGGGGUAAAGGCCUACCAAGGCGACGAUCUGUAGCGGGUCUGAGAGGAGGAUCCGCCACACUGGGACUGAGACACGGCCCAGACUCCUAUGGGAGGCAGCAGUGGGGAAUAUUGGACAAUGGGGGGAACCCUGAUCCAGCCAUGCCGCGUGUGUGAAGAAGGCCUUAUGGUUGUAAAGCACUUUAAGCGAGGAGGAGGCUACUCUAGUUAAUACCUAGGGAUAGUGGACGUUACUCGCAGAAUAAGCACCGGCUAACUCUGUGCCAGCCGCCGCCGUAA
Molecule: ribosomal RNA, 501 nt
Filed under: uncultured bacterium
Lineage: Bacteria
Description: partial 16S ribosomal RNA
Rfam family: Bacterial small subunit ribosomal RNA
Source: RNAcentral